AACGCAUAUUGCGCUCCCUGGUAUUCCAAGGAGCACGCCCGUUUCAGAAUCAGAAAAUCCCUCAUUUCUACAACAUUUGGUACAUCCAUCCUUGAUGGACCCCAAUGGGCAUGGAAAUAAAUACUGGAUGUUUUGCUAUACUGAGCAAGCUUGAUCUUGUUAGCAUUGCAAUCAUCUAAAAAUGAAUUGUGGAUGCUCCCCAGCAGAUUGCUCCUGGGCCUGCCAAAGUGCAACAGAUAAUUACUUUAAUUUUGUCUUGAAACACAUUGGCUAUGGUUAUCUCGGCAAUAACUGGGAAUUUUUAGUAUCCAUUCUGUUAAAGAAUGCUCUUGACAACAUGGUCUGAAAUCGGGCGGGAAAACCCGCUGAACUUAA
This 375-nucleotide unclassified non-coding RNA is filed under the name uncultured soil eukaryote. RNAcentral's name for it is "sequence contains 5.8S rRNA gene, ITS2, 28S rRNA gene". The record is from RNAcentral.